RNAcentral lists this ribosomal RNA (235 nucleotides) under uncultured Candidatus Saccharibacteria bacterium. Its description in RNAcentral is "partial 16S ribosomal RNA". It matches the Rfam family "Bacterial small subunit ribosomal RNA", at positions 584 to 818 of the family's 1533-position model. Lineage: Bacteria; Candidatus Saccharimonadota. The record is from RNAcentral.
UAAGCGAGUGAUGAAAUUUUAGGGCUCAACCCUGAAACUGUUACUCGAACUGGCACGCUAGAGUAUAUGAGGGGUACCUGGAAUUCCUAGUGUAGGAGUGAAAUCCGUAGAUAUUAGGAGGAACACCAAUGGCGAAGGCAGGGUACUGGCAUAUUACUGACGCUAAGGCACGAAAGCGUGGGGAGCGAACCGGAUUAGAUACCCGGGUAGUCCACGCCGUAAACGAUGGAUGCUG